RNAcentral lists this non-coding RNA (31 nucleotides) under Rattus norvegicus (Norway rat). The record is from RNAcentral. Lineage: Eukaryota; Metazoa; Chordata; Mammalia; Rodentia; Muridae.
UGGAACCACCAACUCAAAAUGUGGGCUGGAU